GACGAACGCUGGCGGCGUGCCUAACACAUGCAAGUCGAACGAAGAAUGUUUUUCGGAAUAUUCUUAGUGGCGGACGGGUGAGUAACGCGUGAACAAUCUGCCCCGUACAAAGGGAUAGCCUCGGGGAAACCGGGAUUAAAACCAUAUAACACUUAACUGCCGCAUGGUAGUGAAGUCAAAUCGAUUAAGAGGUAUGGGAUGAGUUCGCGUCUGAUUAGCUAGUUGGUGAGGUAAGGGCUCACCAAGGCGACGAUCAGUAGCCGGCCUGAGAGGGUGAACGGCCACACUGGAACUGAGACACGGUCCAGACUCCUACGGGAGGCAGCAGUGGGGGAUAUUGCACAAUGGAGGGAACUCUGAUGCAGCGACGCCGCGUGAGUGAAGAAGGUCUUCGGAUCGUAAAACUCUGUCCUUGGUGAAGAAAAGGACGGUAGCCAAGGAGGAAGCCCCGGCUAACUACGUG
Molecule: ribosomal RNA, 463 nt
Filed under: uncultured bacterium
Lineage: Bacteria
Description: bacterial SSU rRNA
Rfam family: Bacterial small subunit ribosomal RNA
Source: RNAcentral